AAGGAAAUGAAGGGAAAGUUUUCUCUUCUCCUUAGAAUGGGAAACUGCGUUUAAAGCUCUCUCUAUCGAUAGCAUGCCACAGCUCACGCACGCAUUACGUGCAUGAGCCUGACACUCUUAUCAAUCUAAACACUCAUCCCUUUCCAUACUUAUCAUAAAUCCACUUCGAUACUUCCAAAUUAAGUCAAAAAAUCUCAUUGUUCUAAGCCUUCGUUUACCUUUUGCUUUUGGGUAUCAUCUCCGAUCUAUCUAAUCAUUCUCUCUAUUAAUCUCUUUCGAUCGGUGUUGGUGGUGGUUGUAGUGUGGUGAUUUUUGGGGGAUGGCGAUUCCUGCGGCAGUUGUCAUCGUGCCAGUGGGACUUCUCUUCUUCUCUUCUGGCCUUAUUAUUAAUCUCAUUCAGGCUAUCUGCUAUGUCCUUAUUCGGCCAUUGUCGAAAAACACAUACAGAAC
Molecule: unclassified non-coding RNA, 450 nt
Filed under: Hevea brasiliensis (rubber tree)
Lineage: Eukaryota; Viridiplantae; Streptophyta; Magnoliopsida; Malpighiales; Euphorbiaceae
Source: RNAcentral